RNAcentral lists this non-coding RNA (126 nucleotides) under Otolemur garnettii (small-eared galago). The record is from RNAcentral. Lineage: Eukaryota; Metazoa; Chordata; Mammalia; Primates; Galagidae.
ACCAUUCUUUUCUUUGGGUUUUGCUACCGUCCAAGGAGAGCAGAGUGAGGACAGUACUGCUAAUACCUACAUGACACGCCUGGAUCCAGCGGAGUUUUGCUUUACAUCAGUGCAACUUUUAGAAAA